GGCGCUAUGGCGGAGCGGUCACGCGGGGGAUUGCAACUCCCCUCACCCACGUUCGAAUCGUGGUGGCGCCUCCA
Molecule: transfer RNA, 74 nt
Filed under: Planctomycetota bacterium
Lineage: Bacteria; Pseudomonadati; Planctomycetota
Description: Planctomycetes bacterium (soil metagenome) tRNA-Cys
Rfam family: tRNA
About the family: Transfer RNA (tRNA) molecules are approximately 80 nucleotides in length. Their secondary structure includes four short double-helical elements and three loops (D, anti-codon, and T loops). Further hydrogen bonds mediate the characteristic L-shaped molecular structure. tRNAs have two regions of fundamental functional importance: the anti-codon, which is responsible for specific mRNA codon recognition, and the 3' end, to which the tRNAs corresponding amino acid is attached (by aminoacyl-tRNA synthetases). tRNAs cope with the degeneracy of the genetic code in two manners: having more than one tRNA (with a specific anti-codon) for a particular amino acid; and 'wobble' base-pairing, i.e. permitting non-standard base-pairing at the 3rd anti-codon position.
Source: RNAcentral